This is a long non-coding RNA of Phacochoerus africanus (Common warthog), 2024 nucleotides long. RefSeq lists it as uncharacterized. Lineage: Eukaryota; Metazoa; Chordata; Mammalia; Artiodactyla; Suidae. The record is from RefSeq and is a predicted model, not a curated record. The transcript is spliced from 3 exons.
UAAUAUCAGAGAAGGGGAGCCCAGCAGAGCCUAGAAGGACUCCAGAAGCCGAGAAGCAACGUCGUGGUGGGGAGGGCUUCUUUUUGGCGAGGCUGCUAUGGAAUACUUGGGGCCAAAGACGGAGCAAAGCCCCAGAGAAAAGGCAAUGGUUCAUGUCCCCAGGAAUUUGCAUCAGACCCAGCAGACACAGCCUGCAGGGUCAGAGAGGCGUUCUCCAAACCCUGGAAAUCACUGGCCAGCCAGUCCUGAUGGCAAGGCCAUCAGCCCAGGUCUCCAUCCACAAAAAGCCGAACAGGCUGGGUCAGAACCAAGGCCAAUAUAUUCACUGAAAAGACAGAUUUCUCAGCCUCUGUCUCCUGCCGUUUUCAAACAUCACACUGGGAGCGUGAAUUGAGACCGGAAUCCUGAUUUGCUCCCUGAUCAAUUUGGACAAUGCUGGACAAUGCAGUGGUCCCUUCUGUUUCUUCCAAUGUGUGUCCAGCGAAGUGACCUCAGAAUUACGUCUCUCUGAGCCACCUUGUAGCAGCUAGAGAGAGAACUCACACAGAUCAGAACUUCUCAGGUGUACAUGCCCCUCAAAAAUGCAUCUUUGAUUGGCACAACAUUGUAAAUCAACUACAGUUUUAAAAAGCGUGGGGGAGGGAUGCAUCUUUGAGCAUCCUGUUGCAAAGUAAGUAAGGACAAUGAAGUAUGAUUUUUUUUUUCAACAAAGCUUUUCAUUGAAAGGAUUGUCCUCUAUGCUGAGAUUACAGUUUGCUUAUCUUAGGGUAUAAUAAUGUGCAUUUUGUGUGUGUCAAGUGCAUGCCUGGACUUGACAAAAUAAAAAGUAGGCAAACACAUGUUUCCCUGCAUUACCACUUAAUUUAAAAAAAACAAUAAUUUUACCAGCUCAUGAAAUAAAAAAGCUGGAAACACUGAUAUGGACCACCCUGGGUGUUUGGGGAAAGCAAAUAACUUCCAGAUUAGCAGCUACCUGGAACAUUUUCCCCCAGACUGUAGUCCCAUGGGCUUUUGUUGCAUAAAAUAUUUCAUGUCUCUUACACAUGUGACUAUGGCAAAUGAGGGUGAAAGGAGCUUAACGAGAGUUCAUAGGUCCCCAAUAAACCAAUGGUGGACUAGUAAGGAGGACAAAAGGUCAAGUGUGCUGCCUCUACUCCCAUCCCUGAUACAACCCUGCCUUUGUGCAAAAAGGCCUGAGUCCAUUUGCUGUUGAUGCUGAUCCAGUACUUCCCAACACUAUGUUAAUACUUUAAAAUUUUUUAAAUGAAACAUCUUUCACUAGAGCUUCAACUUCCACCAGGAUUUGUUUGGGUUUGAAAAGAUCACUUUUUUUGGUGGGGGUCCAAUAUUGUAAAUUACUCCUCUGAUCACUCUAACUAGCAGGUUCCAAACUUGGCUGGCCAUGAGGCCUCACUGUUAAUAACAUCUCCUGAAUUAUGCAAUGUUUUGCCCUAUCCACUCAUGUUUGCCAAUGCUGCCUCAGCAAGUAUUUCUAGAACACCCUGAGAAGAGCUGAUGUGGUUCUCUGAAGCUUUCCUGGGGGUUACGUGAUGCUGCAGCCAGGCUGGGGCCUUCACACACAUGGCCCUGGGUCAUGCCCUUGUUCCAGGCCUUUCCUUCUGAGUACCAGUCUCCCUUAUCCUCUCCCUUCCCAGGCCUUUGUGAUUAAUUUCUGCGGCCCCUUCCUAGAAUGACUACUUGUUCAAAUCCAUCCCUUCCUCCAAGGUUGACCUCAAGCCACAUUUUUUCUCUAGGAAUUCUAAGAUCCCUAGCAUACAAAUAGCCUCCUCUUCUCUUUUUCUGCUGCACUUUGUAACCCCCAAAUCCAAGGCACAGGUAAUGAAUGCUGCAAGAGUUAUUUAGCUGACUGUCUUCCACCACUUCCCACCAUCAUACGAGCCUCAGACACAGGGACUAGAGCAUGCUCUUCUUUUUUUUUUAAACUCACCAAAGCACUGACAGGGUAUAUUGAAUGCAGUAAGUCUGGUGAGUACUAAAUAAAACUGAAUCGCCUUGAAUUCUCA